This 764-nucleotide ribosomal RNA is filed under the name uncultured Gammaproteobacteria bacterium. RNAcentral's name for it is "bacterial SSU rRNA". It matches the Rfam family "Bacterial small subunit ribosomal RNA", at positions 1 to 772 of the family's 1533-position model. Lineage: Bacteria; Pseudomonadati; Pseudomonadota; Gammaproteobacteria. The record is from RNAcentral.
AAGAAGCUAGCGGCGCGGGCGGUAGGCUUAACACAUGCAAGUCGAACGGAAACGAUGAAAAGCUUGCUUUUCAGGCGUCGAGUGGCGGACGGGUGAGUAACGCGUGGGAAUCUACCCUAUAGUUGGGGACAACAUAUGGAAACGUAUGCUAAUACCGAAUAAGCUCUACGGAGUAAAGGAGCCCACUUCCUGAAAGGUUUCGCUAUAGGAUGAGCCCGCGUUAGAUUAGCUAGUUGGUAAGGUAACGGCUUACCAAGGCCACGAUCUAUAGCUGGUUUGAGAGGAUGAUCAGCCACACUGGGACUGAGACACGGCCCAGACUCCUACGGGAGGCAGCAGUGGGGAAUAUUGCACAAUGGACGCAAGUCUGAUGCAGCCAUACCGCGUGUGUGAAGAAGGCCCGAGGGUUGUAAAGCACUUUCAGUAGGGAGGAAGAUGUUAGGGCUAAUACCCCUAUUGUUUGACGUUACCUACAGAAGAGGCACCGGCUAACUCUGUGCCAGCAGCCGCGGUAAUACAGAGGGUGCAAGCGUUAUUCGGAAUUACUGGGCGUAAAGCGCGCGUAGGCGGAUGAUUAAGUCAGUUGUGAAAGCCCUGGGCUCAACCUAGGAACUGCAUCUGAUACUGGUCAUCUAGAGUUUAAGAGAGGGAAGUGGAAUUCCAGGUGUAGCAGUGAAAUGCGUAGAUAUCUGGAGGAACAUCAGUGGCGAAGGCGACUUCCUGGCUUAAAACUGACGCUGAGGUGCGAAAGCGUGGGCAGCGAA